Molecule: ribosomal RNA, 266 nt
Filed under: uncultured prokaryote
Description: partial 16S ribosomal RNA
Rfam family: Bacterial small subunit ribosomal RNA
Source: RNAcentral
UACGGAGGAUGCAAGCGUUAUCCGGAUUUAUUGGGUUUAAAGGGUCCGUAGGCGGGCUAAUAAGUCAGUGGUGAAAUCGAGCAGCUUAACUGUUCAACUGCCAUUGAAACUGUUGGUCUUGAGUGAAUUUGAAGUUGCCGGAAUAUGUAGUGUAGCGGUGAAAUGCAUAGAUAUUACAUAGAACACCAAUUGCGAAGGCAGGUAACUAAGAUUUAACUGACGCUGAUGGACGAAAGCGUGGGGAGGCGAACAGGAUUAGAUACCCU